AUUGAACGCUGGCGGCAGGCCUAACACAUGCAAGUCGAACGAGUGGCGGACGGGUGAGUAAUGUCUGGGAAACUGCCUGAUGGAGGGGGAUAACUACUGGAAACGGUAGCUAAUACCGCAUACCAUCGGAUGUGCCCAGAUGGGAUUAGCUAGUCGGUGGGGUAAAGGCUCACCUAGGCGACGAUCCCUAGCUGGGCUGAGAGGAUGACCAGCCACAAUGGACCUGAGACACGGUCCAGAUUCAUACGGGAGACAGCAGUGGGGAGUAUGGCACAAUGGGCGCAAGCCUGAGGCAGCCAUGCCGCGUGUAUGAAGAAGGCCUUCGGGGUGUAAAGUACUGUCAGCGAGGGGGCGUUACCCGCAGAAGAAGCACCGGCUAACUCCGUGCCAGGAGCCGCGGUAAUAC
RNAcentral lists this ribosomal RNA (406 nucleotides) under uncultured bacterium. RNAcentral describes it as "partial 16S ribosomal RNA". It matches the Rfam family "Bacterial small subunit ribosomal RNA", at positions 29 to 526 of the family's 1533-position model. The record is from RNAcentral.